AGUCUACUAUUUCUGCACUUCUUUUUGUUUGGUUGUAAUAUUUUCAUGUGGAGAAAGACCCGUAUAAACUACAACUCCAAUUUUGAAUUGGCCCCCCAAAAAGAGCUAAUAUACAGAGAUGUGUUCUUGAUCUGCACCACAUCAUUGACUGCAGUAAUGGGGAUUAUGCUUGUUCACUUGUUCCUUAUUGCAAAAGGGUAUUCAUAAUUCAUCGACCUGAGUUCAAGCAAUACCUGUCUUUUUGUUAUUGAUUUUUUUUUAUAUUGAUAGUCUGUCCUUUCAACAUCUUCUAUCGAUCAAGCUGUUUUCGUUUCCUCCGCAUGAUAAGGAAUAUCAUUCCAUCACCUCUUUAUAAGGUGCCACUGCUCAGGAACCUGGAGUAUGUUGCAUGUUACUACAUAACUGGAAGCUAUAAAACUAAGGACUAUGGAUUUUGCACGAGGACCAAACAUUACAAGGAUAUGGCUUAUGUUGUUUCCUUCCUGCCUUACUACUAGAGAGCCAUGCAGUGUGCUAGGAGAUAUUUUGAUGGACAGAUAAGCCACCUUAUCAAUCUAGGAAAGUAUGUAUCAGCCAUGCUGGCAGCGGGUGCCAAAGUGGCAUAUGAGAAAGAAGCGACCAUUAGAUAUCUCUAUCUAGUUGUGGGGGUGUCAAGUUUUGCAACUGUAUACCAAUUGUACUAGGACUUUGUAAAGGAUUGGGGUUUUCUCUAGUUCCACUCCAAAACCCCCUAGCUAUGGAAUGAAUUGAUGCUCUAACGAUGGUUAUUCGGAUGCUCCGACAAUGGUUAUGAGGAAUUGCAGAUCUAGAAAGCCUUAAUAUCUAUGUUGAGCCAAUAAUCAGACCAUGGUUAUUAGGAUGAAUGAUUAA
Long non-coding RNA from Nelumbo nucifera (sacred lotus), 870 nucleotides. RefSeq lists it as uncharacterized. The record is from RefSeq and is a predicted model, not a curated record. NCBI's taxonomy places the organism in Eukaryota, Viridiplantae, Streptophyta, Magnoliopsida, Proteales, Nelumbonaceae.